GGUUGUAUAGUGUAGUGGUUAUCACUCCAGAUUUUGACUUGCUAGUCAAAAAGCUUUCUGGUAACCCCGGUUCGAACCCGGGUACGACCU
Molecule: transfer RNA, 90 nt
Filed under: Bipolaris zeicola 26-R-13
Lineage: Eukaryota; Fungi; Ascomycota; Dothideomycetes; Pleosporales; Pleosporaceae
Also listed under: 1 other name
Rfam family: tRNA
About the family: Transfer RNA (tRNA) molecules are approximately 80 nucleotides in length. Their secondary structure includes four short double-helical elements and three loops (D, anti-codon, and T loops).
Source: Rfam by way of RNAcentral